This 478-nucleotide ribosomal RNA is filed under the name uncultured bacterium. RNAcentral's name for it is "partial 16S ribosomal RNA". It matches the Rfam family "Bacterial small subunit ribosomal RNA", at positions 28 to 507 of the family's 1533-position model. The record is from RNAcentral.
GAUGAACGCUGGCGGCGUGCUUAACACAUGCAAGUCGAACGGGAAACCUUUUAAUGAGGCUUCGGCAGAUUUAGCUGGUUUCUAGUGGCGGACGGGUGAGUAACGCGUGGGUAACCUGCCUUAUACAGGGGGAUAACAGUCAGAAAUGACUGCUAAUACCGCAUAAGCGCACAGGACCGCAUGGUCCGGUGUGAAAAACUCCGGUGGUAUAAGAUGGACCCGCGUUGGAUUAGCUUGUUGGUGAGGUAACGGCUCACCAAGGCGACGAUCCAUAGCCGGCAUGAGAGGGUGAACGGCCACAUUGGGACUGAGACACGGCCCAGACUCCUACGGGAGGCAGCAGUGGGGAAUAUUGCAAAAUGGGGGAAACCAUGAUGCAGCGACGACGCGUGAAGGAAGAAGUAUCUCGGUAUGUAAACUUCUAUCAGCAGGGAAGAUAGUGACGGUACCUGACUAAGAAGCCCCGGCUAACUACGUG